GCUGUCGACCCUAAUCGCUUUAAUUCGAUAUCUCUUUUUCUCCCCUUCAAUCUUCAAUCUUCUGCAUUAAUCGAUUCGACCGGUAUCAUCUUCGUGUUUGGUGUUGAUGUUUUGAGCCAAUUUUUCUUCUUCUUAUUCGUUGCGACAUUGACGGUAAUGGUAACGAUGUUUUUGAAAUUCAAACCCUAGAAAUCUUGAUUUGAAUUGGUGCCAAAAAAAAAAGUUGAUCGCAUAGUCACAAGAAAGAGAGAGAUGAUGAUACAAAAUAAAAUAUAAAGCUUUCCGUUCCCGUUCCCGUUCUUGAAAUUCAACCAAGAACGCCCGAUCUCUAUGAAUCUAGAAUUCUGAUUUGAAUUGGUGCCAUAAAAAGAUGGCAACGAAGUUACAGACUUUGUUGUUUGGAUUCAAGUUUCUAUUGUCCAUGAUCUGCUUCAUUUGAAAGAGAGAUAUGAAUCUCUCUCUAUUUCAUUUUCAACCCAUUAUCCUUUGGUUUCUGAUCUAUUGAUUCCGUUCUUCUUUUGAGCAAACAUUCUCUGUCUCCAAAACUGUGUUUGACACAAAUGUUUUGGGGGUAGGUUUUUGUUUGCAACAGCAUUUUAAUUGAUUAUCCAAGAAUGUAUAAUCUUGAUGAUUCUUGGUUAUUGUUGAUUGAGAAGGUUAAUAAAAAUUGAAAAGUCGCUAUGCUUGGAUGAUCUCAAAUUUAAGUAUGAGAUAAAUUCUUGACUUAUAUGUGGCCUUCAAUAUGAAUUUUUUAUUCAUAUGAAAUGAAUCUGAUAUAAUAUGUUUCGAUGACCAGGUUGUUUAAUUACAAGAUGAAUUCUUGACCCAAAAUGUGGUUUGUAGUAUGAAUUUUUUAUUCAUAUGAAAUUGCCAUAAUAUUUUUUGGAUGACCCGAUUUUUGACAGUAAAAAUGGCCUUCAAUAUGAAUUUUUUAUUCAUAUAAAAGAGAUUGAGAAUUUGAGAUAGUAUGACUGGGUCCCAUUGAACAGAAGAAGAAGUAUGUAGAUAUAGAUUGUAUCAUUGUUAGCCGCAAGAUCUUCGUUUGGACUGUUGGAAUAAUUGUUUUUGCUGCUUUUGUUGAUGGUUUUGUUACUCUUAUUGUUAAAACUGUUCCUCGUCAUCAUCAUAAACAUCCUCCUCCUGAUAAUUAUACACUUGCGCUUCAUAAGGCUCUUAUGUUCUUCAAUGCCCAAAAAUGAGUUAAAUCGGUGAGUGGAAAGAAGAAGUUCAUGAAAAAGCUAAAGUGAAUAAAAGGAAAAGUUGGAGAUAAGAAAAUGGAUUUUGUAGGAUGGGGUUCAAGAAGUCUCAUU
Molecule: non-coding RNA, 1310 nt
Organism: Cicer arietinum (chickpea)
Lineage: Eukaryota; Viridiplantae; Streptophyta; Magnoliopsida; Fabales; Fabaceae
Source: RefSeq, a predicted model, not a curated record